Non-coding RNA from Lonchura striata (white-rumped munia), 197 nucleotides. The record is from RefSeq and is a predicted model, not a curated record. NCBI's taxonomy places the organism in Eukaryota, Metazoa, Chordata, Aves, Passeriformes, Estrildidae.
AGGUGCUGUGUUUGACAAGCCAGCCACUGGAAGAUGUUCUUUCUGAGGAAUGAGGGGGAGAAGCUGGCAGGGAGUGGUGCCAGUGCCUCCAAUAAUGAUGUGACACAAAGAACACAAGACAAUUCUCAAAUCAGAAAAUCUUUCAAGCUACUUGAAUGAUAUGCUAUUCUGGAAAUGAAAAAAAAAAAUCAUUCAUU